Molecule: small nuclear RNA, 102 nt
Organism: Ailuropoda melanoleuca (giant panda)
Lineage: Eukaryota; Metazoa; Chordata; Mammalia; Carnivora; Ursidae
Source: Ensembl
UUGCUUCAAAAGCACAUAUACUAAAAUAGUAACAUUACAGAGAAGAUUUUCAUGGCCCUUGUGUAAGGAUUACAGGUAGAUUAUGAAGCACUCUAUAUUUUU